GUGAGGCGUCACAGGCUGCCGAGACUCCUGGAAGAGUCCUGAUCGGCCUUAUAUGACAUUAGAUCUAAGAUGGCUCCCAGAACACCAGAGACACAGCAAAAGGAAUGGAGGUAGGGCAGAGGUUGCUUCUCCAGUCUUCACAGAAGGCCUAAUAGGUUAUAUUGCUCUCCCACCCACUCCUUCUAAGCAGCCUCAUCAGGAAGAGCUCUUAUUGGAGCAAGGUGGCGGCAUGAGGAGAUAUGAUUGGCGGAGGAUUUAAAGGCUUGGGAUUGGCUUAAACACUGUACUGUGUAAUGAACUCAGAUCUGCACCUUGAUGCUGAUCUCUGGAGUUCGGUUCCCAUGGUUCAUCGAGUGACUCCAUCACCUCUCACCCCCGCCCCAUCCUCUUUGGUUCUGUUUCCAUACAGAAUGGAGGAGGGUUGAGAUUAGAAAGACCGCGAAGGGCUUGGCCGUGUGUUUUGAGGGUAACUUUAGGAAGAAAACAUCAUACAUGACAUUUAUUAUAGCUCCUAUGAAAAUGGAUUACUGAACGGGAGGAAAUGACCAGAGAGAACAGUUAUCUAUAGCUGCCGAAGUCCAGGAAGAUGGGAAUGGCAGGUACCCACGCUGGAGGUACAACGAAUAGGACUUGAAUAAAUGUCAGGGAGGCAAGGGGAAAGGAAGAGCAAGGAGAUGCCUAAAUUAGACAAACGCUGGUGUGUGCUUGAGAUAACUGGUGCUACUAUAACAUAACACUAGAAGCUGGUACCUUAUGAACAACACAAAGCAGUCCCUCAGCGUUCUGGGGGCUAAGAAAGACAUAAAAGUCCCAGGAGCUUUGGCAUUUGGUAAGGGCACAUUCUAUGAUUUGUCAAAAGUUGUCAUCUUCUUGUGUCCUCCUGUGAAGGAAAGGGUGUGGCAGCUCCUUUCUUCCCUAUGGGGCCUUCCAAAUACUUCAUCUCCUAACGCCAUCACCUUAAAGUUAGAGGUAGAAUAUGAGUUGAAGAAGGAAUGGCCAACAUUCACAGCAGUGCCUUUCCUGAAACAGGGAAGACAGGGGAAGGGACUAACAAAGUAAGAGAGUGAUGGGUGGGAGAAACGAAUGUUAACCAGGAAGUUAAAGGCAGCAGUCAUAAUAGAAGAGAACUAGGGAGUAUUUAAUAAUAUCCAACAAAGACACAGCAUUUAAAUCUGUAUUAGUAGGUGAUGUUAAGAAUAAUAAAAUGAGAAGGACAGAAAGGGAACAGAGAAGCUCUGAACUGAGGUCUAAGCACUCUAACACACACAGGUCAAACAUCAGAGUAUGGAGAUCGAAUGGGUCUGCCCAUAUUCCUGUUAACCUGAAGAUUCCAGGAACCAAUGACCUUGAACAGUGCACGUUGCUGCAGCUUCCUAGUUCUCACAAUUCAGAGCCAUCUUUGGCCUUCCCCUAAAGAAUGCAGAAAAUUGGCAUUUGCACAAAAAUGUGUGUUUUCAGAACAAGGAUAAUAUAAAGCUGAUAUCCCCAGCAGUAAGCCUCCCAACUGCCCCCCAGGACAGUCUGAAUGAAAAAAUGAUUAUGUACUUAAUGUCCACUGAGCACCCCGGGGAGAAAAAGAGCAUACUAUAAUUGCCAAGUAUUAUUUUUACCAUUAUUAAUACAUGAAUCAUUCAUUAGAGGGGGAAAAGGAACUAGGAAUGGGAAAGUCGAAAGAUAAUAGGCUGUGUUUAUAAUGUUGCACAGAAGGAGCUGCCUACACAAAUCCCCUCCCAUAUACAUCCAGACACGCACAUGCUGAAUAUGUCCUCAUCGCAAAGACAACCCCUCAGCAGCCACCCAGAGGGCUGAGCAUUAGUGUCAGCUGAAUAUCUAUCUUGUGCCUCAUAUCUGUCUUUCUUGACCUUAGGCUGCCCUGGUGCAAGGUUCUGGUAGGGAGUCAGCUGCCUUAGUAGGAUAAAACUAUCUUACUAAGAGAUCAUCCUCAGAGAGGAUGGUAUUUUCAAAUGGAGUAAGUCAAUUUUAAGACAACGAAAGAAUUUACAGAUGUUUGGAUAGACUUUAAGGUUACCAUACAGAAGUGCCUAAACCUUGGAUUAUCUGUUAGAAUUACUUUUUCAUUUAAAACCCGAGGCUCUCACCACGAGCAAGGCAGUGAAACGAAAAGCACGACACGAAGGCAUUGGAGUAAAUGUUUAGAAACACAAAACGAAACAACUCCGACAUCAUUUUUAGACCUUUAUUUGAAUGAAAUAUUUAAAACCAACAGAUCUCAAUUUUAAAGCAUUCCAUCUCUGUGUAUUUUGUAAAGCGGGAAAAAAAAUCUACUUCUCUUAAACGAAACCUCAGGGCUUUGUGUAGACAAUGCCAAAGUAGUUGUUUUGGAAGGAAAACAAAACAAAACAGAUCUCUUUGGAUACCUCAGAUUGGAUUUUACGUCAAAAGAGUUGUGUUGAUGCUAAACCUGCAAGAAGGAAGACAAGGGAUUCUUAUGAAUAAGAACCGAGAGAACGCAGUGGCGCCAUAGUCCACUGCCACGACUGUUGCCUCUUUAAGGACAGUGGGGCGAGUGGGAGUGUGGAAGUGGCCUGGGUAAAUAAGUUCUUAAACUUCAUUUAAAUAUCAAGGUGCAGAGCUCUGAAGCUGAGUGUAAGUUAUUUAGAGCCUAGACAGUGACAACAGAGUCCCUCAAGCCCCAAAGAUGAGGUGCAUGGCUGCCUAUCCGACUAUCCCACCUGUCUGUUCUCUCUGUGUGCGCACUGUGGGUCCACAGAAGCUUUAUAAGCAACUGCUUGCCCUGUGAAAAACCCGCCCCCUCUCCCAACCACGCCUGUUCAACUCUCAGAGAUGUUUAGAAAGUAAACCGGAAGUAAAUGUUUCUGAGACAUCUUUUAUUUAGCCAGCGGGGGAUGGCUACCUAUAUUUAGUGGUAUUUUCUGAUCUACCAGUUCACAUGCUGAAGAUCUUCAAGAUUUCCUAACAAAGCACUCGUCUAGGACCUGGUGGGCUUGCUUCAACGGAUAUGGAUUUAUUUUCAUAUUUCUUCUGUUGUUUUGAUGGGAUUUGAAGGGAGAGAAGAGGAAAGCUGUUUGUUCAGUCAGCCAUCUUGAUUUAGAGUUGCUCACCUUUUAUCAGGGCAGGCACAGAGGGACAGAACUCCUGCCCUAGAUCCUUUAAAAAGUAAUUGUGAGAGACAUUUAGCAUGUUCAAAAGACUGGCAACCUGACCUACAUUCUUUCAGUAUAUUGAUUUGCAAAACCCAAGUCUUUCUUUACUUUCAUAUUUUCUUGUGCAUCAAUUCUUUAACAAAGGGAAAAUAGGAAAGGGAAAAGGGGCUACUCAGUGUAUCCACGUUUACACUCAAUUUUCUAAGCAUUAUAAGCACAGAGUAUUACUUAGGAGAUUAGGUUUUACCCUAAUGCAAAUUCAAAAUUGGGCUUUCCUACAAACAGAGAUUCUUUAUAUCGUUAUGUAAUUAAAGUGAGAAAUAAAACAAUGCAUGUUUAUAAAAUUAUUCGGUAAAAUAUACUACUCAGUAAACUGCACAUAAAGUCUACUCGCGGAAGAAAAGCCGUAGACGAAAGUCAUUACUCAUUUGAGACUCGGUAAUUGGAGCUGGUGGAAGAGCGUGCAAGCCAGUGCAUAUGUGUGCUCAGCCUCCAUGGAGAGCUUCUACCAAAGAAGUGUUGCUGCUCAGGGAUUUUUCUCACUGAAAUCCAAUGCACAGACUCCUAGCAAGACAAACGAAGGUUUGGUUACUUGCAGGAAUGUGUAAGGGCUAAUGGAAUAAAGGGAAACAGAACAGAGGAACAGAGGGAGUAACACAUAAUGGACUCUGGCUUCUCACGUGCCAACCAUCAUGCACCACGUCUGUGUGCCUUCCUUUUGAAGCAUACUUCUUUGACCCUCUUUCUUAGUACCAGUGCCCUUUUGUUGCUAAGCACCUGUUCAGAAAUCCUAUGCUAAUGCUUCCUCUGAGAAUCCCUCCCCAGUGACUUCUCCAUGUUCCUGACUUUUCCUUCUCUGUCCUCAUUAACCUACUUGAAUAAUUUUUGAUUUUUUUCAAAAAAAUACAUCUAACUUCUCCCCCACACCAAUUGAAUUUCUUCUGCUUAUCCUCCAUGCUAAUUUUCUCUUUUCCCAUUUAACUCCUCAUUUCAACUCAAAAUCAAAUAUUUUUUUCUGACAUAGUAAAAUCUAGGAUGCUAUCGUAUUGUCAUUCGCAGUACAGUGCUUUAAAAUUUUACCUUGUGCACACAUGUAUGUGAGUCCAUUAGCACAUUGAGUUCUCAGGAAAAUUUAUUUUAAAAAUUUACAAUGUGCUUUUACAUCCCAUUGAGUUUAAGGGAGAUAUUAUAAACCUGUGUCAAUGCUACAAAAACAGAAAAUGAAAAAGAGGAAGGAUUCGUCUAUCCUAGAGACACAGUCUUCUCUUAAGUGUCAGAGCUGGGGUAGAAGUGAUGCUACUGUAGGGUUCCCAUAAAACUCAUUGCAGGCAGACACUCAGGAGUAUGUACUGAAAAGUACAUUUGACCUAGCCCGUGUCUGGGCUUAAAUCUGACUGGCUGUGUGACUCUGAGUGAAUCUUCAGUCCUCUUUGACCUUCUGUUGUCUCUGUCGAGUUCCUGCAGUGCCUGUCACAAAGGAAGUGGGCUGUAAAGACAACAGUAUCUGUUACAAGCACAGCUCUGUAAAAACAUUAGACCUGAUAGACUGUUGUAUUUCAUAGCUUCCAAUGCAGCUUUCGCCAAGCAAAAGCGACUCCCUGGUACAGCUGUGUGUCAAUGGUGUUUCUCAGUUGCCCUGCAAUUCCUGUGGCUUUGAAAACUGUUGUUUGAAUUUCCAGGUGAAGAAGGGGAAGAUUUGGAUAUAUUCAAGAAUAAGUUGUUCAAAAUCUGCACCUAGACCAUGGGCAAAAUUCUAGUUAGUUACUGCUAAGACAGUUUUUUGUUCUCAACCCAAUUAGCACCAUAUGGCUAUGUCUUAUUUAGAACCCUCCACUUUGGCCCGUAGAGCAGAAGCGCAGAUCGGUGUCCACAAAAGGCUCUUCCUCAGGACCAGUGCGAAGUGCUUGGGAAAGGGUCAGCCAAUGUGAUAGUACUCCUUAAAAAACCUGAGAAAAUGGACAGCAUUGUUGGGAGCUUGUGAGCUCCUGUCACAGUACCGAGCUUGAACAAUGUCGAUUAAAGCCCCAUGCUUGAGACUGUCAUUAGACCCGCAUUAAAUUACAUAUCUGGAGUGUUAAAACAUAAAGAGUACAGUGGCUUUUUCGCAGCUACCUAAGACCUAUGCCCAAUAUUCACAUACUGGCGGCACAGGCAUCAUCAUCCAGAGGUUCCACUGAGAUCAGGAAAGAGAGGACAACCUGAUGGGAUCAUUCCAAAAUGUCGGCUAGCAAGGAAGCAGAACAUAUUGGGGACAAGCGACGACCACGGGGCAAAACUGGAAGUUCUUGAAUUUGCCAUUAAAAUAUCGGCUCUGAGGACAAGAUACCGAAAGACAUCCUCUCAGUUGAUGGGGGACAGCCACCGUUGAGAAAGUAGAUGAUCACUUUCUUCCUGACAUUCUGGCCUCUGGCCAUGAAUAUUGAAAGCUGUUAUCCUCUGGGGCUACUCAUUUCCUUCUCCAAGAGGCUUUAAUGCUUACGGCGUCUGAAACCAAAAUAUGGGCAGAGUGCCUGCAUUAACAUAGACAGUGCAAGAAAAGGUUCUGGAUGUCUGGGAGUAUCUCAGCCAUUCGAUAAAGAUAGCAGCUCUCAACUUGGGCACCAGUGUCAAGAUAUUUCGGAGUUUACAAAUGGUCCUAAGAGUGAUGUAAUUUCACAAGCAUUAAGGUGACUGAUGUUUCUCCCUAUUUUUUACUGUAAUAGCCUGUCCUGGCCUGAUGAGUUUGGAGUAACCUGCCUUGCUCAGGACAGAUAUUUGAUUGUAGAAAAAGACUUGUCCCCUAGCAAGCCUAGACAGCAUGUAGGUUUUUCCUGGGUUCUUUGCCCUGCUGACACAUAAUAUUCUUUCUGCUGGCAGCCUCAGUGUAUAUUUACUAAUCAUCCAAUGAAGAGCUGUGAUUUGGAUUUCCUGAAAUUCUAUUUUUAUUGAGGUGUGUCCAAAUAACAUACACGGUAGCAAUAUAACACAUUUGUAUGAGAAGUAGUUAGCUCCACGUAGGACCUCCAUGAGCUCCAAUGCUUUAUUUUUAAGGAUUAAGUAUAUACAAUUUGAAAAGAUUAUUUUAAACAUCAAUUUUCUAUUUUUCUUUAAAUAAGUUUUAUUUAUUUAUUCAUGUAUGAAUAUGUACAAGUGAGUAGAGAUCAGAGGGCAAUUUAUGGCAGCCAGGUCUCUCCUUCCAUAGGAGUUCCAUUGAAUUCUGGACCUCCAUUGUGGUAGCACCAGUCUUUGUCCACUGAGCCAUCCCAUCAGACCUCACAAAAUUGUUUUCACUGUGGUCCGCUGACUUACUAUGCUUUCAAGUGCCUCGUUGUCUUGGAUGCUUUAAGAAGUUGCCUUUCGGCUCACCUAGAGUUGAUCUCAUUAGUAAAAGAAUGAGUCCACAGAAAAGAGUUUCUAAAAUUAUCCUCUAGCUCAGAAUUGCAAGUUGGCUCUUUCAGUCUGCAGAUAAGUUUCUAACGCAUUAUGCUUAUGUUAUCAAGCAUUACACCUGACAUCCUCUCAUAAAUGCUGCAUGCAUUUUAACUUAUUUUAAUAUAGUGUGAGCUGGCUUGUAGCAUUCUCCUAUAGUUACUGAAGUUGAAUAUUCUCAGCCACAUAGUAAUGGUAGGAAUGCUCAUCUUGUCCCUAAAUUUUACUCAACUGGGGCACCAUCAGCUAAGGUUCCUUCCGAGUUUGUAUCUUGGUUACUUCUUCGUGUUUGUUGUAUGUUGGAACCAGACAUGCAGUUCCUCUAUUACUUCUAAGAAACCAUAAACAUACUUUGACAAAGCUGUAACCAGAGACACUUAACCACCUUUUGCACUGCAUUAUAGUCACAGGGCCAGGCUGCUCAGGUGAGCUGACUUUAGGAGGUGGUAGCGUGCGUAGCUUCAGAGGUCACUGACAUGGAUCAGGGCACACCUGUCACACAAGUUACUUUGAAGACAGGGAGAACCAGAUGAUUAUAGAGACCCGACCUGCGAUGGCUGUAUUUUCUAAAGGCUCACCUUGACUUGGGUCAAUGGUGCAAGCUUUACCCUUGGGACUAAAUAAGAACAAGUAGUUUUCUCAAGUAUCAGGUGCUGUGAUACCAAUCAACAAAUCAGAUGCUGAGUCUGUGAGAAAGCAGGAGGUCAGUGGCAGUGAUCAUCCCCUCAAUCCAAAUGAAAGUUGUUUAAACAAAAUGCAGAAAUUAAGAUAUUUCCUUAAUAGAUGCAUGCCAGGUCCAAGAAUGAGUACACAUGGACAGCUCGCUGGUUCUAGAUUUAUACAGCUCAAAAUGAUGUGAUGAUGCCAUAUGUUGGGAAGAUAACCCUGAAAAGAAAAACACCAUGGUCUAUAGCAGGUGACUCUGUUAAUAUUAAAACAAUGAUGAUAACCAUGUGGCUUCAAUACAUGCUCUCAAGAACUUGAUAGCACCAGGAUCAAGCUGAUGUAGGGGCAUGAAGUAUAAGUAUAUGCCAGAAGACCACAUGACCAAACAUAUUUCCUGGAAUGUUUUUAAAAAUAUCAAAAUAAAUGCAAAGAAAUAUUCAGUAAAAUAACAGAAUUUUAAUACAUAUGGCUAGUAUUUGUUAUUUGGUUCCUCCCCCAACUUUCCUCCCACUUAGGUCCAAGGUCCACAUUCAUUCUCUCUCUCUCUCUCUCUCUCUCUCUCUCUCUCUCUCUCUCUCUCUCUCUCUCUCCCUCCUUCCCUCCCUCCAUCCCUCUCUCUCUCCCCCAUUAGAAUACAAACAGAUGUCUAAGAAAUAAAUUGGUAGACUAAAAACAGAUAAAUGAGCGAAAGAACAUCAAGCAAAUAAACCACCAAUAACAACAGCAACAACAACAAAAGAGACAAAGAAGUCACAAGAAACACAUACCUGAGGAGAUACACAAUUUCACACACGCAGUGAACCCAUAAAAGCACAACACUGGUAACAUAAUAUGCAUGCAAAAGACCCGUGAAAUAAUAAUAAAAAUAAUUCCCAGACAAAGCAUUAUGAGACAAGAAACCUCCAAAAAUGCCAGUGAGCUCCUUUUGUGUUUUCCAUCUACCAUUGGGCAUGGAAUUUCUCCUUAAGAGUAGUUAUACCCAGUGAGACUCCAGUAGAGAAAAAUAUUUUUCUUUUGCAAGUUAUUAACUAGAGAUAGAUUCUGGGCUAAGGAUGGGGCUUCUCUCAGGGCUAGGACCCCAUCUCUAUUAGAAUCCUUCAGUCUCAGUAUAUCCUCCCACAUUCUCUUUGUGUUCAUAUGUGUAUCAUCUGUCCUGUGUUUGGAAGUCUUUAAUUUCUCGGUGUGCUCCAUCCCCCCUAGCUUUUAAAAUCUUUCUGCCUCCUUUCUUCUUAUGGUUCCUUGAGCUCUGAGGGGAGGGAUUUGAUGUAGACACCUCAUGUAGGACUGUGUAUUCCAUGGUCUCUCGCUUUGUGCACAUUGUUCUGUUAUGGGGCUGGAUUUGUUUCCAUCUACUGCAAUAGGAAGCUUCCUCUGAUGAUUGAUCUAUAAAUAUAGCAAAAUUUCAUUAGACGUCAUUUUAUUCCUGUACCACUUUAGAAGAACAGUAGGGUUUGGGGUUUUCCCUUGAUCCCUGUCCCACCUAGUCUCAGGUUCUUGGCCACCUGAGCACUGUUGUGUAUAGGUUCCAUCUCAUGGACUCGGCCUUAAAGCCAGUCAAAUACUGGUGGUCACUCCCACAAGCUUUGUGACAUUAUCGUAAAUAUAUAUUGCAAGCAGGUCAGUAUUGUAUCUGGGUUGGUAUUUACUUUUCUCCUCUGGCAGUGUGCACAGGACCUUACAGCUCCAGCUUCAUGAACACUGGUCAGUAGGCAGGCACCAGCUCCACUUCUGUGUGUCAGUGACUUGUGUAGGUGUCUCUUGCAAUAGGAGCUUUGGCGGUUUGAGUAAGAAUGGACUCCAUAGGCUCAUAUAUCUGAAUUAGGGUCUGAGGUGUCUCUUUAGAGGAAGUUUAUGUCAUUGGUGGUAGCCUUUGCGGUUUCAAAAGCCCAUGUGAACAUGAUUUUCUCUGUCCCCACCUUUCACUCUGUCUCUCUGUCUCCAUCUCUGUCUCUGUCUCUGUCUCCGUCUCUGUCUCCCUCUCUCUCUCUCUCUCUCUCUCUCUCUCUCUCUCCCUCUCUCUCUCUCUCUGUGUGUGUGUAAAUCAUGAGUUAAAGCUCUCAGCUACUGCUCCAGCACCUACCUGCAUGCCUCCAUGCUCCACACAAUGAUAAUAAUUGACUAAACUUCUGAAACUGUAAGCCAGUCUCCUUUGUUUUCUUAUAUAAGAGUUCCUUUGGUCAUCUUUUUCCAGCAAUAGAGCAGUGACUAAACCUGGGUCCCGAAUAGUCAAGUUAGUUAAGGGACAGCAAUCAACAGACUUGUCUACAGUCUGGGUUGUUUUGGGUAUCCAUGGAGCCUUUUUGGCCAGAAACUCGAUUACAUAUACCCCAUUCCUACAACUGGAGGUUUCAUUUGUUGAUGAGAAGUGUCUAGCUGGGGCUUUGUCUGGCCCAUCAUUUGGUGAUUCCAAUUUUAUAUAGAUAUGUGUUUCUACUGUUAAUUAGGUUUCCAUAUGACUCCUGAAAUGUCCCUCAGUACCAUCUCUUGUUCCCUGUAUUGCUUCCUUGAUCCUUCUUUUCCCUUCCUCUCCUUGUUUAAUCCUCCCAUUCUAGUCUUCAGAACCCUGCCCCCACCCCUCAUCCAUAACUGUCUCUUGUAUUUUCCUUCCUAGGGAAGUCUCUCAUCCCUACUCACAUAACCUAACCUUCAUGAUUAAAUGGAUUAUAGUCUAUUGAAGGCUUAACAGCUAGAAUCUACAUAUAUGUGAAGUCAUACUAUCUUUGUUUGGGUCUGAGUUAUUUUACUCAAGAUAAUUUUUCUAGCUCCAUCCAUUUACUUCAAGAUUUUAUUGUUUUAGUAGCUGACUUGUAUUUCAUUGUGUAAAUAUUCUA
Non-coding RNA from Rattus norvegicus (Norway rat), 10030 nucleotides. The record is from RefSeq and is a predicted model, not a curated record. Lineage: Eukaryota; Metazoa; Chordata; Mammalia; Rodentia; Muridae.